RNAcentral lists this transfer RNA (82 nucleotides) under Saccharomycodes ludwigii. Its description in RNAcentral is "tRNA-Leu". It matches the Rfam family "tRNA". From Rfam's summary of the family: Transfer RNA (tRNA) molecules are approximately 80 nucleotides in length. The record is from RNAcentral. Lineage: Eukaryota; Fungi; Ascomycota; Saccharomycetes; Saccharomycodales; Saccharomycodaceae.
GCUAUUUUGGUGGAAUUGGUAGACACGAUACUCUUAAGAUGUAUUGUCGAAAGACAUGAAGGUUCAAAUCCUUUAAGUAGCA